UCAAACUUGAUUUCGCCCCCUCCCCUUCCCACCCAGCGAUACAUCUAAGGCUUGGAGACUCAGACGGAAGAUUGCUAAUGCAAGAAAGGAGAGCGAACUGCAGCCGCGCUAAGGGGAAGAUUGGCUGCCACCUGAAGGACCAAGAUUCUUUGCACGAUUGCCAUGCUAUAUGGCAAGAAGAACAUUUGGAUCCAUUGCCAAAUACCUUGCAUUAUUUUUUGCUCAAAAGAACUACAAUUCCAGGUGUGUUCGGACUGGAUGUGCAGACCAUGAAUGAGGGAUAUGGUCCCUCUUUGAUGAAGGAAGAGGUGAUUCAUCAAGAUAGCCACACUGAUGCCAAAUUCCAGGAGAUCUGUGGUAUCCCAUGCCUGUGAUAAUGAGCAGCAGGGAUGUGAUGAGAAAUGUCAUCCUAGAGUUAUGACUGGAGACUAUUCCCAACAAUGUAGGUGUUCCAAUAAUAUGGAUGGGAGAUGCUAUGAGGACAGAUGUAGUGCUGGGAAAAAGCAGCUUGGUGAUGGUUCAGAAGAUGGUGGGGAUACAAGAUACCAAGCUGGGUUUAAAAAUUUAGGUGAACAAGAUGUCCAUAAUGGCUGUUGUAAUGAAUUGGACUUUGAUGGAAUGCUGAGAUCCCACCCAGACUUGGAUGGUGAUGACAUCAAGAAAAUAAUGAAACUGCACUCCAACAGAGUGUGUAACCAGGCAUGUGGCAGCAACUGGAAUGACACUUCAGUUGCCAGUGGGGAUGGAGAGAAUGAUCUGCAUGGCUAUCUAGAUGAGGAUGGUGAUCAAGAUUUGUCUUCAGACUUGGAUGGUGAUCUCAACCAAGACAUGGAUGAAAGCUCUAAUCAAGCUUUCCUCCCAGAUGUGGAAGGAAACCCAAGUGUCUCUCCAGAAAUGGAGGGAGGAGCAGAUGAAGAUUCCAGUGAGGAGACCGAUGCAGCAAUGGAUGAUGUCAGUGAGGACUUUGAUUCUGAUGUGGAUGGAGAGGACAGUGCUCUCCAUUUGGAUGGCAGUGACGGUGACCAAAACAUCGAUGUCACCACUAAUCAACUGGAUGUCAACAGUGAGUCAUCUCUCACAGCCACCUCAUCCAUUUUUCCUUCUGUGCCUGACAAACCUUACAGAUGUCUGGAAUGUGGAAAAUGUUUUCGCACCAGCUCUACCUUGGGCCAGCACCGCCGCAUCCACAGUGGCGAGAAGCCCUACAAGUGUGGGGUCUGCAGCAAGUGCUUCACCCGGGGUUCCACCUUCCUCCAGCACCAGCGGACUCACACAGGUGAGAAACCGUACAAGUGCCCAGAUUGUGGCAGAUGCUUUGGUCGGAGCUCUAACCUCAUUCAGCAUCAGCGGGUUCACACGGGCGAGAAGCCAUAUAAAUGUGGUAUCUGUGGAAAGUCUUUUUCUCUCAGUUCUACCCUCAUCCAGCAUCAGAUUAUUCACACAGGUGAAAAACCGUACAAAUGCCCUGAUUGUGGCAAAUGCUUCAACCGCAACUCCAAUUUGCUGAAUCACCGGCGAGUGCACACAGGGGAGCGUCCUUUUGCCUGUCAUAUCUGUGGCAAGAAGUUUUCUGAAAGCUCCUCCCUCACGCAACACCAGCGGACACACACUGGGGAACGUCCUUUCCGGUGUAAUGACUGUGGUAAAUCUUUUUCCCUUAGCUCAACUCUGAUCCAGCAUCAUGUCACACACACUGGGGAAAAACCUUACGAGUGCCUGCAUUGUGGCAAGUCCUUUGGGCUCAGCUCCACCCUGUUGCGCCACCAGCGGGUCCACACUGGGGAGAAAACAUUUGAGUGCCAGGACUGUGGGAAGACCUUUGGUGUUAGUUCACACUUCUUGCAACACCGAAGAGUCCACACAGGUGAACGCCCCUUUCAGUGCCCAGAUUGUGGGCGUACAUUUAGCCAGAGGGCUCACCUGGUGCUGCAUCAAAAGGCCCACCAAAAUGGGAUGGCCUCUCAGCCUCUCCACCAAACCCUCUAUAUUUGCAAUGACUGUGGCAAGAGCUUCCAGCAGAGUUCACACUUGGCACAACAUCAGAGGGUCCACACUGGUGAGAGGCCGUACCGAUGUGAGGAUUGUGGGCAUGGCUUCUCCCAGAGUUCCAAGCUGCUGGAGCACCAGCGGGUUCAUACUGGUGAGAGGCCAUAUGCUUGUAAGGAUUGUGGGCACCGCUUUGGGCAUAGCUCAGCACUUGUGCAACAUCGGCGCAUUCACACAGGUGAGAGGCCCUAUAAAUGCCCAAACUGUGACAAGGCUUUCUGUCAGAGCUCGGCUCUCAUUCAACACCAGCGUAUCCACACCGGGGAAUUGCCAUACAUCUGCCAGGAAUGCGGCCAGCGCUUUCGAUACCUCCUGCAGUACACACGGCACCAAAAGGUGCAUGCCAGGGAAGGGGCCUCAGCUGCUUCCAGUCUUGCAGGAGUGGCAGCCAUUUUGGCACUGAAGAAUAAGUUGGUAUCUUCAGCAGGGGGUGAGACCCUGGGAGAGACGUUAAUGGAGAAGGAUUCUUCUGUAGUGGAAUAUGGAGAGUGAAUAAGAUGGCAUGAGACUGAAGGAAAUUUCAGAGGGAACUAUGAGGCAAUGGUGAUGCAAUGGUACAGAGGAGAGGAAACACAUCGUAAGAAUCAUUCUCUGAAUUUUUCUCUGUAGUUAUUUUAUCUUAUUCUUUGCAGCCUCCCAUACACCCACUCACCCUGCACCUGUUGAAACUAUCACUGUGCCUGCCUACUCUUGCCAAAGACAUAUAAACAUAAAUGUGUCUGGUUAGGAUGAAAAAGCCUUUAUUCUUCACCUUGCUGUGGAGAUAAAGGCAAAUGUUUGUGACGGGACAUUUUCCUUUACUUCCAGCUUUGUCCUUAAAGACAUACUCCAGGAGUGAGGGGGCGUUCUGAGGUGAUGGGCUCUAAAGAGAUGGCCCCAAGACUGAGAAGGGUAAUGAGUUCUAGUAGGGGGCCCAAAGGGCACAUUUGAAAAUCUGGAAUUGUAGUCAACUAAUAUUUACUCAGAGUAGACUAACUGCAAUUAAAAGACAUGGCUAACUUGAGUCCAAUAAUCUCAAUGGGUCUACUCUGAGUAAAAAGUUGAAUACAACCCCUUGAGUUGCAUCCAGCUAAGUUCUACUCAGAGUCGACUCACUGAAAUUAAUGGACCUAUGUUAGCCAUGCCUUUUAGUUUCAAUGGGUUUACUCUGAAUAGAACUGGCACUGGAUACAGCCCCUGAGAAACUGUUGUGGGUUCCACAAAAAUGCCCAUUUCUCAGAAGAAAAACUGGCUAUCCUCACAGCAACACUCAAACAAAAGGCAAAACACACUGAAAACAAAUAAAACACAAAAGCAGGCAACCUCCUCCCCAAAACCAAACUCCCGCUAGGCAAACACCCCCCAUUAAAACACUGGGAAGGGCAGGGAGCUGUGGACAUCUAGGGGAGGGGUUGAGGGCUUUGUGGUGCCCAUGGGCACCAUGUUGGAGACUUUACAGUAAGUGCUUUAAGAAGCCUAACUCUCCUGUGUUUUCUCACUGGCUCCAGAAAGGGAUCAACUGGGUGAGAGAUGGCAAUGCUGUAGGCCUGUCAGUGCCUCAUUUUCUGUCUGAGAGGUAGAGAUUAGCUUUUCUGUGUGUGUCAGAAAAGCACUUAGGAGAUGCGGUACGUGAUGAGGGCAGGAGAGAUUAGCCCAUGUUGGGAUUCAUACGUCCCUUUUGUGAAUUUGAGGGUGGGGGCAUCCAGAACUGUGUCUGUUCUAGGAAGCAAAAAUGGUCAAAAUUCAAUGCCUCUCUACAACUGACACUAAAAGCACUUGGUGUUAGCCUCCCUUGUGCAAUUUGCCCCAUGGGCAAAUGACAGUAGUGUAUUUAGUAAAUGGUCUGGAACAACUUUUAAAAUUGGUUAAGAGUCACACAGGAAGGUGAGUUCUGUGUUCCUGUUUCAUCUUUCAUGUGAAUUUUAUGUCACCUGUGAGUAAAAAUUGUUCCACCUUAAACUGCACAACUGUACCUCCAUCCCCGUUAUUAUGUUAGAAGGCUACACUUUCUAGACUUAAGAAAACAAGGGCAGUGUCCUUUUCCAGGCUAGGCUGGGUAAGUUUUUUUUUUGGGGGGGGGGGGACCUUUCUAGACGAAGACACUUCCCUUGUGAAUAGCAGUAAUCCUGGAGCGACUGCAACAUGACUCCACAGAUUCAUGAGCAGUUACGCAAUUUUCAACAUACUGAUGCAAAAGCCCGGAAAAUGGAUUAAAUCGCCCCCUGCUUCCAGCUCCCCACGGACAAGAGACCUCCAUAGAUGAAGAAGGUAGCAUAAGUGAGUUAUCUCAUUCACCAAUUUGUGCCUCUUUUCACUCGCUUGCAAUAAAGACUUAUGGGCACACCUGAGUAUGUCUCCACUUCUUUUCUGAACUUUUGGAUCUGUCUGCACAGUUUGUGUCUUGGCGGUCCCUUCCUCCUUCCAUUCCUUCAGCUUCAGGUCUAUUCCCUACUCUUAAAUGCAAUGCAAGGUUUCUUUGGAGUAAUCCACCCUCCCUCAGAUUGGUAUUUCCAUGUUUUCAUAUGCACAACAUCAGUGGUUACCAAACCAUUCCCCUCAUAAACCACUUGAA
Rhineura floridana is the source of this 4597-nucleotide RNA transcript. It is a transcript of the gene named zinc finger protein 883-like, with no coding region annotated. The transcript is spliced from 4 exons. Lineage: Eukaryota; Metazoa; Chordata; Lepidosauria; Squamata; Rhineuridae. The record is from RefSeq and is a predicted model, not a curated record.